AGUUUGAUCCUGGCUCAGAACGAACGCUGGCGGCAUGCCUAACACAUGCAAGUCGAACGAAGGCUUCGGCCUUAGUGGCGCACGGGUGCGUAACGCGUGGGAAUCUGCCCUUGGGUUCGGAAUAACAGCGGGAAACUGCUGCUAAUACCGGAUGAUGUCGAUAAGACCAAAGAUUUAUCGCCUGAGGAUGAGCCCGCGUUGGAUUAGGUAGUUGGUGGGGUAAAGGCCUACCAAGCCGACGAUCCAUAGCUGGUCUGAGAGGAUGAUCAGCCACACUGGGACUGAGACACGGCCCAGACUCCUACGGGAGGCAGCAGUGGGGAAUAUUGGACAAUGGGCGAAAGCCUGAUCCAGCAAUGCCGCGUGAGUGAUGAAGGCCUUAGGGUUGUAAAGCUCUUUCACCGGUGAAGAUAAUGACGGUAACCGGAGAAGAGGCCCCGGCUAACUUCGUGCCAGCAGCCGCGGUAA
Molecule: ribosomal RNA, 468 nt
Filed under: uncultured bacterium
Lineage: Bacteria
Description: bacterial SSU rRNA
Rfam family: Bacterial small subunit ribosomal RNA
Source: RNAcentral